CGGCGCACAUAAGACAUGCAAGUCGAACGGAAGUCGCUAAGAAACGGAUUGACGAUUAUCAGAUUGAAGUUCAUAGCAAUGGCUUUAGUGGCGGACUGGUGAGUAACACGUAAGCAACCUGCCUAUCAGAGGGGAAUAACAGUGAGAAAUCAUUGCUAAUACCGCAUAAGCUAGUAAUAUCGCAUGAUAUAGCUAGAAAAGGAGCAAUCCGCUGAUAGAUGGGCUUGCGUCUGAUUAGCUAGUUGGUGGGGUAACGGCCUACCAAGGCAACGAUCAGUAGCCGGACUGAGAGGUUGAACGGCCACAUUGGGACUGAGAUGCGGCCCAGACUCCUACGGGAGGCAGCAGUCGGGAAUAUUGCGCAAUGGAGGAAACUCUGAACCGCAGUGACGCCGCGUAUAGGAAGAAGGUUUUCGGAUUGUAAACUAUUGUCGUGAGGGAAGAAAUUGACAGUACCUCAGGAGGAAGCUCCGGCUAACUAUGUGCCAGCCGCCGC
This 496-nucleotide ribosomal RNA is filed under the name uncultured bacterium. RNAcentral's name for it is "bacterial SSU rRNA". It matches the Rfam family "Bacterial small subunit ribosomal RNA", at positions 40 to 518 of the family's 1533-position model. The record is from RNAcentral.